Molecule: long non-coding RNA, 727 nt
Organism: Numida meleagris (helmeted guineafowl)
Lineage: Eukaryota; Metazoa; Chordata; Aves; Galliformes; Numididae
Exons: 3
Source: RefSeq, a predicted model, not a curated record
UGCCUCUGCACCGUAUUGUUAUUUUUACUUGCACCGUUUCUAUUUGAAGACUGGCUGCUUUUUAGUGGGCCAAGGGAAGAUGAAGUAUUCAGUCUGAGGAAAGGAUGAACAGUACUUUUAUGUAAGACAAAAUGGGAAACACGAUUCGCUAAGACCUGGCUGCAAUUUUCUGGAGCCAUUGGUGGGAGCCCCAACCUGAAAACCCACCUGGAGGACAGCAGGAGUGGGGGAGCUCAGCAGUGGUUAUCAGCUGGAGCUACAGGUGCUGCAUCACACUGAGGGGCUAAAACAGAUGACAGGAGGACAAGCAGAGCUGUAAUGCAUGACAUGACAUGCAAUGAGUGCCCACCAAUGUGGCAGAAGCAGCAGUGCUUCCCAGGGUCUUGCCAGCUUGCCUGUAGCUGGGGUGAAUGCUUGGCUAAGGUGCUGGGGGUAAGGAUAAAGGGGCACAGGGGUAGGAGACAAAUUUACAGCCUCUUUUUACUCUUGUUCUUCCUCAUUUUGCCUCUGCUUUACGACGUCUCUUUCAGUUUCUGCUCAAAUGAAAUCUGCCUUUCUAAACUCGCUCCUUUUUUGAGGGGAGGGAGUAUUGUUAGGAAAGGGUGAAGCAUGGCCAUCGCAAACUGUGUGGUUUUCUCAGGAAAGGGGGCAAGGGGAAAUAGUUUCAAACUGAAAGUGAUGAUGUUGAGAUUGGAUAUAAGAACUUUUUUUUUUACCAUAAGGCACA